CACACACACCACACACACAAGAAUGUAUACAGAGGAAAAACCAGACACUAGUCAAACAGACAGACAUUCAUGAUGACUCUCUUUCUCUCUCAGGGCAGUAAACCCUUGGUGCAAAAAUUCACACAGUCCUGUGUGCAGAACUCAGUACCAUCGUAGAGUUCUGUCCCUGUGGCCUAAGUGUUCCCACAAGGUCUUCUAGUAUGGCCAUACCAAGGACUGAUUUCAAUCUGAUUGUCCAAUGAGGCACCCCCCGCCCCCGUGUCACACAGCAGGGUGGCCUUUAUGCAGUGGCCAGUGGCUCUAAUCAGACAAGAGAGAUGGCAGGGGUGCUAGACGGGACAGAAUGAACCUACUUGGGAUCACAGCCCUGGCAAGUGGGAACCCCAGCAAGAUAUGAGCUCACACACUCUCUGAGUGCCUUGUCUACACAGCCGACACAGCCUUCCUUCUCUGCCUCAAAGCUCUCAUUCCCAGAUUCCCGGAAUAGGACAGUCUGCAGGUGGGAAUAACAUCCUUGGGCAAAUGCCCCUGAUUUCAAGCCUGUGCUUUUCUUGUAGGCACACUGUUGGUCCCUGAGCACUAACACACCAGAGGGCAGACUUAGUCAUCUACACCUGCCUAUACCCAGCUUUAAAAAACUGUUUUUGUUUUUGUUUUGUUUUGUUUUUUUAAGAUUUAUUUAUUUACUGUGAAUGGUGCUUUGCCUACAUGUAAGCAUGCCUACUCACCAGAAGAGGGCACCAGAUCUCAUUACAGAUGCUUAUGAGCCACCGUGUGGUUGCUAGGAUUUGAACUCAGGACCACGGAAGAGCAGUGCUCUUAACCUCUGAGGUAUCUCUCCAGUCCCUUAAGAAAAUCUUAAAACCUGAACGUGCUGCACUGUAGAAGGCAAACCUCACUCCCAGACAACUCGAAACAAGCCAGGAUAAGCCCGGGUUGAAAGAGGAAUGCACAUCCCAGCUCAACCCCCUGGUUCAGAGAGAAGGAGCAGCCUAGGUACCUAGAGACCUGUCCCUUAUCUGACUGUGUCUGAUGCACAGACAGGAGCUUGAGCUGUGCAGAUGGCUUUGCUGUUCCCUGGAGGGGCUUCCUUCCUUAUUCACAGUGACAGGUUCAGCUCUCAGUCUGAGCUGGCAGCCAUAGGCAGGGAAGGGGAAUGGGUUUCCUGGCUGCUGGGGAAAUCUUCUAAUCUGCUGGCUUCUGCUUGAGGAACCCCCAGAAAGAGAUUAGCAUUGGGACCCUGUGGAGUCUGUUUAUUGGUCAACUGAUCCUGGGACAUGUGUAGCCAUACUCUCUUCCCACAGCCUUUUACAUAUGAAGAAACUACUGGCCCUGGGGGAAUCCUUGGAGGUAGAGAAUGGGGGCAAAGGACCCUAGGUGGCUGGGACAAGGCUGAGCCUGCCCCGACCCAAUACUCUGUGCACCUCAAGCCUAGGAUCUCACUAGAAACAGGGGAGUAGUGGCUUGGCCAGAUCGAGCUGAACAACCCUUGAGAUGGACAACACCAUCCCAUCCAGCCCCCAACCAUCCCAUCAAACACAACGCAUUUUCCCUGUGUAUCAAUCUGCAGUGGGCUUUCCACGCUGGGCUCAGAUCUGCUGCCUCUGAGAUUUCAGAGCACAGAAGUCUAUCCUGACCAGCCUCAUCCUUUUUCAAGGCUGAAGGCAAGGAAAUAAGUCAUUGCCCUGAACCUGAGACCACCUUAGAUUCCAGGAGUCAGGAUGGGAGGGUGCAGAUCUCACACAACCGAUUCUCCCAAGAGAAAGAACACAGCUAUGCAUGGCCUCCAAGCCGCAAGUCCUUUAGGACUUCUGGUCCUGUUACUGCAUCACAACAAAGACAGUGUGAUCGAACAGCCCACGCCUUGACCUGUACAACUCAAUAAAGCAUGUCCCCUGUCUCUGUCGCCCCACCCCCAGCUCUGAUUAUUUCUUUAUCUGAGCCUUAGACUCGCAUUAGUACCUUAAGAUAAGCUUGAGGUCACUGGGCCCUUUAUCUGCCGCCCUUCCCAAUAUGGCUACAGUGAGUAUCUGCUCUCUUUUCCCCAUUUGUUUCUUCAGUGUAUUGGGGUGCGUGGAUGAAUCUCACUUUGUGGGGCUCCAAAGCCAAGGCUUUACCCUAAGGCCUCUGGUGACAUGCUACUUUAAAUUAAUCAGAUCUGAAUGUAUAAUUAGCAACUAGGAGGAAGACCAAUGACAAAAAUAAGUGGACCCCCCACCAUCUCCCCCAGACUCUUGCUGGAGACAGCACCAACCAAGCCAAGAGCUAGAAACCUGUGGACAUCCUCCCUGAAAAGAAGUGGAGCAGAGGCCCUAGGAAGAUUAUCCCAAGAAGGUGUUUGCCCCUGGAGCAGCGACAGGAAUGUAUGUCAAAGGCUGAGAAGGUUGGGGCCCAUUAGAGGAGAUGAAGCCUUUCCAAAAUGCCUUAAUCCCAUCAAAGGAUGGGGUGUACCAGAGAACACCAUAAUCCCAUCAAAGAGUGAGAGGGAACUGGGGAGAUCCUACCCCAGGUCCUGGAAGGAAGCUGGUUGUGAGAAAUGGGACCGUCUCCACCACAGGAAGAAGCAGCUGCCUUGGGGGCAGGGGAGCUCUGGCUGGGAACUCUAAACACAGGGAGAGAGGAGAAUCCACCCAUCCAGAUAGCUGGAGCAGCCAGCAGGCAAGCUUGGCAGCUGCCGCUCGAAGAGCCUCAAAAGGCCUGUGCACGGAGGGCUUCUUGGCAAGCACGUCAGGUGAGGUGGCAGACCUCUUGGGGCCACUGGGAUUGCUCAUCGCAAAGGAUGCUGUACUGGCUGGUUUUGUGUUUCAACUUGACACAAGCUGGAGUUAUCACAGAGAAAGGAGCCUCCCAGGAGGAAAUGCUUCCAUGAACCCAGCUGUAGGGCAUUUCCUCAAUUAGUGAUCAAGGGGGAAGGACCCAACCCAUUGUGGGGGGUGCCAUCCCUGGGCCCAUAGUCCUGGCUUUUAUAAGAAAGCAGGCUGAGCAAGCCAGGGGAAGCAAGACAGUAAGUAACAUCCCUCCAUGGCCUCUGCAUCAGCUCCUGCUUCCUGACCUGCUUGAGUUCCAGUCCUGACUUCCUUUGGUGAUGAACAGCAAUGUGGAAGUGUAAGCUGAAUAAACCCUUUCCUCCCCAACUUGCUUCUUGGUCAUGGUGUUGUGUGCAGGAACACAAGCCCUGACUGGGAUGGAUGCAGAGGGUAUUUAUGAUUGUCAUAAUCUGAGAUGAACUGAGGGAACAUCCCAAACCCAGCAGAAGCUCACUGUCAAGCAUUCAGAGCAUAGGAUGUCUUACAAGAAUCUGUAAUGCAGUCUGUGAAGUGUCACUGAGUGGAAACCACUUCCUGUCCCUUCUCUAUCCAGAUGGCGCAGGUAAGGCCUUGGCCAGGGGGCCAGUUUUCUGGGAGCUAAGCUUGAGUUUGGUGGGCCGGCUAGGGGUUGGGCAACUGUGAAAGACAACGGAGAUGGCCACCAUCACAGCACCCACGAGCUGCAGGCCGAAAGGAAGCCUGGGUAAGUGGGAGAGGCGGACAGGAAGGUGAGCAAAGGAGCCCUAAACGGAGGAGUAGUGUUGGAACAGAAAGGGAAGGACUCAAGAUCACAGGGAGAGAGGCUGGGCUGGGAAGUCUGAAGUCUGACAGACACAAUCAGCAUGUGACACAGUGACAGUGAUCCUGGGGGCCUCAGAGCAGCAGGGCCAGACCUCUGCCACCAUUCUCUCAGGAAGGGAGAAGCAGUUGUGGGAGGUGAAUUAGAGAAUUGACAAGAGAGCCUGGAAUCUGGUGGUUUAAAGAGGUCAGUGAGGGACGGGCUUCAGAAAAGGAGGGGAUGUCAAGUGAUUGGGCCCAGCUGACCUGAGAGAGAGGAGUGGCUUAUCCUUCUAAAACUUUUCUUACCAGACCUUAAGAAGAUCCUGGUACGGUUUUCUCUCACAAUUAGGAAUCAGCCCAGCAGAAGGGAUGAUGUCAGUCUCUUUGAAGAUGUCCAGGAUCCUGCAUGAAGCAGGAAGGAAGCCGUGUCUGGCAGAAGACACACCACAGUGAAGUAGAGAAAAUAGACCCGCCCCUCCCCCAUUUCUCCUCAUGCGGGAGAAAGGUGGAUGCCCUACUGGGAUGAAGUGAUGAGACGGGGACCAACAGCAGAGUGAGCCAUCAACAGAGGCUGAUCGAGCACUGAUCAAGGCAUACAGCAGAGGACAACCCAGGGCUUGAAGCAAAGUCCACAGACCUCAGGAACAGCUGACUCAAAGGGAAUCUUUAAGCCUCACAAAAGAGGGUGCCCCAGUCUGAGGUGACAUGUCUUCACAGAAAGCAAAGUCUUUAAUGCAUACACUAUGCUCUGUAAAAAGACUCUGGCCCCAGGACUGCACGGUGGGGCUGUGUAUGCCUGGCAAUUGCAGGCAGAAUGCCCAGCACACACAGUGAAGGAGUCCCUAGAGAGCUUCGUGAGAGCUAACCUAGUCCCCAGGGUAGCAUGGGGAGAUAGGUAAGGCAGAGGGAUUGCUACACUUGGGAGCCACGAAAACAUACCGACUUUGACUUUUUUAAAAAGGAUUUAAACAAAAAUACAUGACUAUGGGGGCCACCAUCAACAGAGGGGCCCGCACACACAAGUACAUGUAAAAACCACAAAUGAAUGGAGCUAGAGCUCCUUUAACAUGAUUUCUGACAUACGCGUGUGAGGGUGACUGUGAGGAUGUAGGACACCCCAUGGGCAAAGCUGCUUGAAGUGCACCUCCAAACCACAGAAGAUCACACUCUUAAGCAGAGAUGACCCUGGGUUCUCCAACCGCCCAUCCCCCUCCCCCCCGCCCCAGCUCGGUGCAAUCUGCAACAAAACAUUUAACGGCCUCUGUUGCCCUCUAGUGGUCGCUUCUGGAAACACACUUUUUCCUCUUGGUAGGGACAAGUUCCUAGGCAAAUUGUGGGAGGCCCUGCGGAUUCUCUCCAGCGGUGUCCUCAUCUGCCAAAAUCAAUGGGCAAGUUCGCAGCAAACCCCCAAAGUGGCGCUCCUAGCCUGUCUGCGCAGUGAAAUCCAUACAGAAAGUCACCCACCUAGUCUCUACAUUUCGAAAUCAAUUCUAAUAGAAACAACUACGCAGACUAACGAUGAGAACAGCGUCUAAGAGAUGAGAGCCCAGAGCUCCCACCUUAUUCACGGUGGGCUAGCUUCCAGACACUCGCGUACCCCUUUUCAUUUGUGUCCUGUCAAUACAGAAUGGAAAAAUUACAGGGAUAAGCAGCU
Non-coding RNA from Rattus norvegicus (Norway rat), 5241 nucleotides. The record is from RefSeq and is a predicted model, not a curated record. Lineage: Eukaryota; Metazoa; Chordata; Mammalia; Rodentia; Muridae.